UGGCUGCUUAUCCUUUUUUAAGCAGCAACCGCAGGGCAAGGACGGCGGUGGAGGUGAUGCUUCCUCCUCUGGCGAGCGGGCCGGCGCUGAGAGAGCCCCUCUAGCGUCCCAAACCAAACGGGCCUAAACGGUGGUGGUGGGGAAGCAGGCAAUUCCUCGUCCCUUUUUGCCCCCCGAAACGAGGGUAGGUCGCAGUUAAAAGCCCUCCUCUGUCCCAGCUGACAGUUUGAAAGCAGCCAUUUUUAAAAGGCUAAUUGUAAGCUGCUUUCAGAGGCGGCUGGUGGGCUGAAUCCCUCCUCUCGCUCCCCCUCCGCCGGGUCUACUUAGAUCCGUCUCUCUUUUCCUGCCAGGCCCCUCCUCGGCCCAUGUGAGCGGCGGCGGCGGCGGCUCCUCUCUAGAGGAAUCCCUCCCCCCCCCCCCCCCCGCCCCAAGCAGGGAAGACGCAAACGACUCCGUUUCCAGCCCAGGAGAUUCGUUGCUGCUGAAGCAACUGCGUGGAAACGACUGGAGCUAACAGCUCUGGCCACAGCUGAAAGCUAAGCCAAGUUGGUGGAAGUCCUUAAUAGGCUCCUGAAGAAAGUAAUACUGUUGGUCAAUGGAGAACCUGUUCAGAGACUGCACAGCCAGCCUGGCCUGGAAGGGGCUGCAUUUCUCCUGAAGGAGCAAGUUUGUAGUUUGUUUGGUCAGCUCCUUUUUCAAGAGAAAGAUUUAUGAUUCCCUUCUCCUCCAGCAGCUCUGUCACUAUUAAAAGCAAUGUGUUUACUGUACAGUCAGCUUUUCCUAAAAAUAAUUGGAUGUAUGCUUCUUCUGGGGGCACUAGAGACAGAUCAGCAUCUGCAACAAUCUCUACCUGUGACAACCUGGGUUCUGCACUCAAAGCAAAGCCUCAGACAAUAUAUGCCUCACUGUCUGAGACAGCGAUCAGCUUGGAUUUUCCUCAAUAGAGACACAACGUCAUUGGAAGAAGACUCAUUAUAGGAAAUGACAAAUGGCGUAUAAUGACAUAGCGUUCUUGCUAUAUUAUACAAGGAGAAUUUUUUGUCGUUGUUAGUGUACAUUCUGGUUUAAUGGCAUUGGGUGAAACCUCCCAAAUAAAUGGUUAAAAAUAA
Heteronotia binoei (common prickly gecko) is the source of this 1109-nucleotide long non-coding RNA. RefSeq lists it as uncharacterized. The record is from RefSeq and is a predicted model, not a curated record. The transcript has 3 exons. Lineage: Eukaryota; Metazoa; Chordata; Lepidosauria; Squamata; Gekkonidae.